This 345-nucleotide ribosomal RNA is filed under the name uncultured Rhodocyclaceae bacterium. Its description in RNAcentral is "bacterial SSU rRNA". It matches the Rfam family "Bacterial small subunit ribosomal RNA", at positions 1034 to 1382 of the family's 1533-position model. Lineage: Bacteria; Pseudomonadati; Pseudomonadota; Betaproteobacteria; Rhodocyclales; Rhodocyclaceae. The record is from RNAcentral.
ACAGGUGCUGCAUGGCUGUCGUCAGCUCGUGUCGUGAGAUGUUGGGUUAAGUCCCGCAACGAGCGCAACCCUUGUCAUUAGUUGCCAUCAUUUGGUUGGGCACUCUAAUGAGACUGCCGGUGACAAACCGGAGGAAGUGGGAUGACGUCAAGUCCUCAUGGCCCUUAUGGGUAGGGCUUCACACGUCAUACAAUGGUCGGUACAGAGGGUUGCCAACCCGCGAGGGGGAGCUAAUCCCACAAAGCCGAUCGUAGUCCGGAUCGCAGUCUGCAACUCGACUGCGUGAAGUCGGAAUCGCUAGUAAUCGUGGAUCAGCAUGUCACGGUGAAUACGUUCCCGGGUCUU